Molecule: transfer RNA, 77 nt
Filed under: Cereibacter sphaeroides
Lineage: Bacteria; Pseudomonadati; Pseudomonadota; Alphaproteobacteria; Rhodobacterales; Paracoccaceae
Also listed under: 1 other name
Description: Rhodobacter sphaeroides tRNA-Met
Rfam family: tRNA
About the family: Transfer RNA (tRNA) molecules are approximately 80 nucleotides in length.
Source: RNAcentral
CGCGGGGUGGAGCAGCCCGGUAGCUCGUCAGGCUCAUAACCUGAAGGCCGCAGGUUCAAAUCCUGCCCCUGCAACCA